RNAcentral lists this long non-coding RNA (781 nucleotides) under Equus caballus (horse). RNAcentral describes it as "lncRNA (ENSECAG00000043109.2)". The record is from RNAcentral. Lineage: Eukaryota; Metazoa; Chordata; Mammalia; Perissodactyla; Equidae.
CAAGGACUGAUAGGGUUGUGCUUCUUUUCACUGCCUAUCCUAUUGGCCAACAGAAGUACCAUAUUGCUGUAAUUGUUUUGUUUUGUUGAGCAUUUCAGGAAGGCAGAUAAUGGAGUUUCAGCAGUUAACUGUAUCUAUCCCAGAAUUCUCUGAGGCAGACCCCUGGGUUUUGAUUCCAUGUGAAGGAAAGAGAGACAUCGAUGAGAAGAUACAGAUUCAGUGUUUAUCCCAAGCUUUGCCCACACUUAGCCCCAUCAUGAAAGCAUGGCUGGAUAAGCGGUGCAUGGGUCUGAUCCAAACCAGAGAACCCCAGGCCGCUGAAGUGGAACACCCAAACUUAACCACUACACCACCAGGCCGGCCCGGAGAAGAUGUUUUUUAACCUAACCCAUGGAUAAAGAAAGUCCAAAUAAGGGCAGCUUUGUCAGAUCUCAAAGUUGGAGAAUUGUGCUGAGAGGGAGUUGGCCUGGAUCCUUUGCCUUCAUGUAGUUCUUGGCAAAUGACAUGUGGCAAGUGGCAACCGAGAAAGAAUGCUCUCUGCAGCUGAUUCAGGAGAAUCUUCCUGAGACUUUGGACUACUCCAUCUUAGCCUUGUGCCAGGUUAACACCACUGCUGCUUUCUGCAAAAGGAGCCAAGCAAUAAAAGGGCAGCUUUGUCAGAUCUCAAAGUUGGAGAAUCGCCCUGAGAGGGAGUUGCCCUGGAUCCUUUGGCUUCAUGUAUAUGUGACAAACUACCCAGCUGAUGUUUUCACCUGAGAGAAAAAGGUAACUAAAAUAUCAC